GCAUGUCAAAUUGCCCAUAAAAUACAUGGUGGCCGGCCAAGGAGUGAUGAUGCUCCACUCAUUCUAAUUUAAUAUGUUUUCUUUUGGUUAACAAAUGAUGGGGAUAAUAAUAGGAAAGUGAACAAAAAAAAAUGGGUGUCAUACUUGCCAUCUCCUAGCCGAAAAACCAAGAAAAAGAAGGGGAGAAAAACUUGGAAAGAGUUCGGCCAUUGCUUGUAUCUAGGAGGAGUGUUUGAUGUUGUGGCAUGAAAAUGAGGGAGUUUGAAUGCUUAAUAAGGAGGGAAGAAGGAGUGUUCAUGUUUUCUUUCUUUUGCAAUUGUCGUAACUAGAGGAAGAAGAGGAAGCAAGAUUCGGCCAAGGUGGUCCUUUAGAUCAAGGUAUGUUCAAUGAUAUUUUUGGAAGUUUACACAACCUUUG
This 417-nucleotide long non-coding RNA is filed under the name Gossypium barbadense (sea-island cotton). RNAcentral describes it as "long non-coding RNA (GBAR_LNC000685)". Lineage: Eukaryota; Viridiplantae; Streptophyta; Magnoliopsida; Malvales; Malvaceae. The record is from RNAcentral.